UUCCAGACUCCUACGGGAGGCAGCAGUGAGGAAUAUUGGUCAAUGGGCGGAAGCCUGAACCAGCCAAGUCGCGUGAGGGAAUAAGGCCCUACGGGUCGUAAACCUCUUUUGCCGGGGAGCAAGGGCGGGGACGUGUCCCGGCCCGGAGAGUACCCGGAGAAAAAGCAUCGGCUAACUCCGUGCCAGCAGCCGCGGUAAUACGGAGGAUGCGAGCGUUAUCCGGAUUUAUUGGGUUUAAAGGGUGCGCAGGCGGUCUGUUAAGUCAGCGGUCAAAGCCCGGAGCUCAACCCCGGUCCGCCGUUGAAACUGGCAGUCUCGAGUUGGAGAGAAGUACGCGGAAUGCGUGGUGUAGCGGUGAAAUGCAUAGAUAUCACGCAGAACUCCGAUUGCGAAGGCAGCGUACCGGCGCCCAACUGACGCUGAAGCACGAAGGCGUGGGUAUCGAACAGGAUUAGAUACCCGAGUA
This 466-nucleotide ribosomal RNA is filed under the name uncultured bacterium. Its description in RNAcentral is "bacterial SSU rRNA". It matches the Rfam family "Bacterial small subunit ribosomal RNA", at positions 329 to 792 of the family's 1533-position model. The record is from RNAcentral.